Non-coding RNA from Sturnus vulgaris (Common starling), 250 nucleotides. Lineage: Eukaryota; Metazoa; Chordata; Aves; Passeriformes; Sturnidae. The record is from RefSeq and is a predicted model, not a curated record.
GGUCAUCAGUGUCACCCCCGAGGGCUACCGGGUGCUGGUGAACGGGACUUUCUACGAGGAGUUCCCGCACCGGCUGCCCCCGGAGCAGGUGAUGAGCGUGACCGUGGACGGGAGCCUGCAGCUGCACUCGGCCUCGGUGCUGGGGGGCACGGGCGCGGGUCCCCAGUGCUGCCCGGACAUGCCCCAGACCACCCCCGCGUACCCCAACUGUAACCUGCCGGUGAUGGGGCAGCCCCCAACCCUGCACCCG